Molecule: ribosomal RNA, 1071 nt
Filed under: Enterobacter hormaechei
Lineage: Bacteria; Pseudomonadati; Pseudomonadota; Gammaproteobacteria; Enterobacterales; Enterobacteriaceae
Description: bacterial SSU rRNA
Rfam family: Bacterial small subunit ribosomal RNA
Source: RNAcentral
UUAAUUUGAGAGUUUGAUCCUGGCUCAGGACGAACGCUGGCGGCGUGCCUAAUACAUGCAAGUCGAACGAACUCUGGUAUUGAUUGGUGCUUGCAUCAUGAUUUACAUUUGAGUGAGUGGCGAACUGGUGAGUAACACGUGGGAAACCUGCCCAGAAGCGGGGGAUAACACCUGGAAACAGAUGCUAAUACCGCAUAACAACUUGGACCGCAUGGUCCGAGUUUGAAAGAUGGCUUCGGCUAUCACUUUUGGAUGGUCCCGCGGCGUAUUAGCUAGAUGGUGAGGUAACGGCUCACCAUGGCAAUGAUACGUAGCCGACCUGAGAGGGUAAUCGGCCACAUUGGGACUGAGACACGGCCCAAACUCCUACGGGAGGCAGCAGUAGGGAAUCUUCCACAAUGGACGAAAGUCUGAUGGAGCAACGCCGCGUGAGUGAAGAAGGGUUUCGGCUCGUAAAACUCUGUUGUUAAAGAAGAACAUAUCUGAGAGUAACUGUUCAGGUAUUGACGGUAUUUAACCAGAAAGCCACGGCUAACUACGUGCCAGCAGCCGCGGUAAUACGUAGGUGGCAAGCGUUGUCCGGAUUUAUUGGGCGUAAAGCGAGCGCAGGCGGUUUUUUAAGUCUGAUGUGAAAGCCUUCGGCUCAACCGAAGAAGUGCAUCGGAAACUGGGAAACUUGAGUGCAGAAGAGGACAGUGGAACUCCAUGUGUAGCGGUGAAAUGCGUAGAUAUAUGGAAGAACACCAGUGGCGAAGGCGGCUGUCUGGUCUGUAACUGACGCUGAGGCUCGAAAGUAUGGGUAGCAAACAGGAUUAGAUACCCUGGUAGUCCAUACCGUAAACGAUGAAUGCUAAGUGUUGGAGGGUUUCCGCCCUUCAGUGCUGCAGCUAACGCAUUAAGCAUUCCGCCUGGGGAGUACGGCCGCAAGGCUGAAACUCAAAGGAAUUGACGGGGGCCCGCACAAGCGGUGGAGCAUGUGGUUUAAUUCGAAGCUACGCGAAGAACCUUACCAGGUCUUGACAUACUAUGCAAAUCUAAGAGAUUAGACGUUCCCUUCGGGGACAUGGAUAC